CGAAGUGAAAAAUAAUUACGAUAAGCACCAAUGUGCAAAUUUUACAACAAUAAGCACCGAAGUACAAAAUAAUACGAUAAGCGCGCUAAUUUUUCCUUAAUGGCAUGCCAUCAAUAUCCCAAUAGUUUGGGACUUGUCUACAUGGGCUUUUCUUAUUAUUAAAUCUUUUUAUUCAUUCACUUGACAGAAAAUAAUAUAACUUUGUAUUUUUCACGAUUUAGUCCUUAUCACAAUAAUAACACUAAAACCUAUAAAUUCUCUUCAUUAUACCACAUACAACACUAUAAUUUUUACAUCACUUUAUUUAAACUGACUUUCCACAUAUUCAUAAUAUCAUAACAUAUUUUAAUUUCUUUCAAUUUAGUCCUUUUUCAUUAUCACCACAAUACAUCAUAUAAUGGUACACCAAAGCCAACAUUCAUAACAUUUACAUUAUUUAACCCUACUAAAUACUUACUACGAUUUCAUUAAUUUAGUAAUUAACUACUUAAUUAACAUAAUUAUCUAAUUAACAUAACUUAAACAAAAUUACUAUUUGAAGUACUUACAACCAAAAUUUGGAUGAUGAGUUUUUCUUCUCUUCUACUCCUUAGCCACUUCUUUCCUUUCCCUUCACUUUUGUCCUCAAACCUCUUCUCUUUUUCUUCAAUUUCAUAACAACAUAUAACAUUUAUAAGUUAAAACUAAAAAUCAAAUAACUUUUCUAUGCUAGAUUAUGAAAAUAAACAUGUAUGAUGAGAAUUUCCAUCAUCCUUACCUUAACUUUUUGAAAAUCCAAAACUCUAACUCAUGUAUUUCUCUCUUUUAACCCAUCUAUGGAAGUUUCCUCAUGAAAUAAAGUUGCUCACUAGUCUUUUUUUUUUAGCUUUUACUAAAUAAAUUUCAAAGGAAAAUGAAGGUUUGGAGCUUGGAUGGUUCAACAAUGGAGGAAGGACAUGGAAGGAAAUAAAAGAAAAGUUGGAUGGAUUUGGGGGAAGGUGAGUGAUGGUUGGUAUGUUGAAAAAGAUGAUAUCUUUCAUCUUUUCUCCACUUUUCGACAGAUUUCCACUAAAAAUAUCUCACUUUUUUU
RNAcentral lists this long non-coding RNA (1069 nucleotides) under Gossypium barbadense (sea-island cotton). RNAcentral describes it as "long non-coding RNA (GBAR_LNC017199)". Lineage: Eukaryota; Viridiplantae; Streptophyta; Magnoliopsida; Malvales; Malvaceae. The record is from RNAcentral.